This is a non-coding RNA of Rhodnius prolixus, 119 nucleotides long. Lineage: Eukaryota; Metazoa; Arthropoda; Insecta; Hemiptera; Reduviidae. The record is from Rfam.
GCCAACGGCCAUACCACGUUGAAUACACCGGUUCUCGUCCGAUCACCGAAGUUAAGCAACAUCGGGCGUGGUUAGUACCUGGAUGGGUGACCGCCUGGGAACACCGCGUGCUGUUGGCA